RNAcentral lists this ribosomal RNA (488 nucleotides) under uncultured bacterium. Its description in RNAcentral is "bacterial SSU rRNA". It matches the Rfam family "Bacterial small subunit ribosomal RNA", at positions 27 to 507 of the family's 1533-position model. The record is from RNAcentral.
UACGAACGGACGAACGCUGGCGGCGUGCUUAACACAUGCAAGUCGAACGAGAAUCUGCGGAAAGAGGAUUCGUCCAAGUGAAGCAGAGGACAGUGGCGGACGGGUGAGUAACGCGUGAGGAACCUGCCUUUCAGAGGGGGACAACAGUUGGAAACGACUGCUAAUACCGCAUGAUACAUUUGGGUGGCAUCAUCUGAAUGUCAAAGAUUUAUCGCUGAAAGAUGGCCUCGCGUCUGAUUAGCUGGUUGGUGAGGUAACGGCCCACCAAGGCGACGAUCAGUAGCCGGACUGAGAGGUUGACCGGCCACAUUGGGACUGAGAUACGGCCCAGACUCCUACGGGAGGCAGCAGUGGGGAAUAUUGGGCAAUGGGCGCAAGCCUGACCCAGCAACGCCGCGUGAAGGAAGAAGGCUUUCGGGUUGUAAACUUCUUUUAAGAGGGAAGAGCAGAAGACUGUACCUCUAGAAUAAGCCACGGCUAACUACGUG